Molecule: ribosomal RNA, 646 nt
Filed under: uncultured bacterium
Lineage: Bacteria
Description: bacterial SSU rRNA
Rfam family: Bacterial small subunit ribosomal RNA
Source: RNAcentral
UAAAAGUGCUGCAAGGCACUGGUAGAGGAUGGACUUAUGGCGCAUUAGCUGGUUGGUGAGGUAACGGCUCACCAAGGCGACGAUGCGUAGCCGACCUGAGAGGGUGACCGGCCACACUGGGACUGAGACACGGCCCAGACUCCUACGGGAGGCAGCAGUAGGGAAUUUUCGGCAAUGGGGGGAACCCUGACCGAGCAACGCCGCGUGAAGGAAGAAGGAAUUCGUUCUGUAAACUUCUGUUAUAAAGGAAGAAAGACGGAUGGAGGAAAUGACAUCCGAGUGACGGUACUUUAUGAGAAAGCCACGGCUAACUACGCGCCAGCAGCCGCGGUAAUACGUAGGUGGCAAGCGUUAUCCGGAAUUAUUGGGCGUAAAGAGGGAGCAGGCGGCAGCAAAGGUCUGUGGUGAAAGACUGAAGCUUAACUUCAGUAAGCCAUAGAAACCGGGCAGCUAGAGUGCAGGAGAGGAUCGUGGAAUUCCAUGUGUAGCGGUGAAAUGCGUAGAUAUAUGGAGGAACACCAGUGGCGAAGGCGACGAUCUGGCCUGCAACUGACGCUCAGUCCCGAAAGCGUGGGGAGCAAAUAGGAUUAGAUACCCUAGUAGUCCACGCCGUAAACGAUGAGUACUAAGUGUUGGAAGUCAAAUU